Molecule: transfer RNA, 356 nt
Filed under: uncultured Microcystis sp.
Lineage: Bacteria; Bacillati; Cyanobacteriota; Cyanophyceae; Chroococcales; Microcystaceae
Description: partial 16S-23S ribosomal RNA intergenic spacer
Rfam family: tRNA (bases 133-206)
Source: RNAcentral
AAGGGAGACCUAAUUCAGGUAUGGGACGAAAAAAAAGUAGUCGCUACCAAGAAUCAAUCCCAAAAGGUCGGAGCGAGGUAUGAGACUUUCAAACUAGGUUCUGGGUUCAAACAAGACCUGAAUCAGGAACAAGGGCUAUUAGCUCAGGUGGUUAGAGCGCACCCCUGAUAAGGGUGAGGUCCCUGGUUCGAGUCCAGGAUGGCCCACCUGCACAGGUGGCAAAAACAAGAGAAGCGAGGAAUCAGCACCUUAUCUUAUCUAUAUAUAAGAGAGAAUGCUGGCUCUGAGUAAAGAGUCCAGAGGAACCUUGAAAACUGCAUAGAGCUAGGUGAAAAAGCCAAAAAAGAAGACCGCAA